Salinivirga cyanobacteriivorans is the source of this 193-nucleotide non-coding RNA. The record is from Rfam. NCBI's taxonomy places the organism in Bacteria, Pseudomonadati, Bacteroidota, Bacteroidia, Bacteroidales, Salinivirgaceae.
AGCAUCGUGAGGUGCCGCAUAAAGGAAGUCAGACUGCAAAACCCUGUACUGAUGUAUAAGAAUCGCAUAAGGCGGGUGUCUGUAAGGAUAAGGUGGCACAGCCUGUCCUCGAUUUAUCGGGAUCAUACCAAAGUCCAAAUUUACCGAUUAACAGGCUACGUAGAUGCGGCAGGGAUAGGGUGAACCGACCGAA